UUUUAAGCUCAAUUAAAGGCCCAAUAAAACUACUAGUAUCGAAGUCGGGUCUCUUCCGAAAAGACCCGAAUUCCUCAUUUACUCUCUCUCUCUCUCUCUCUCUAAAACCCUAACAAAGCCUCCCUCUCUGUUUUUCUCUCUUUGAUAAUCGAAUUUCAGGGUGAUUGCUGCUGAACCUUCAAGAUGGUGCAGUAUAAUUUUAAGAACAUUACUGUGGUUCCAAAUGGGAAGGACUUCAUCGACAUAAUUCUGUCCCGUACCCAACGGCAAACACCGACAGUUGUCCACAAAGGCUAUGCCAUCUCUCGCCUCCGCCAAUUUUAUAUGCGUAAAGUGAAGUAUACCCAGACAAACUAUUAUGACAAGCUCUCUACCAUCAUCGACGAGUUUCCUCGGCUUGAUGAUAUCCAUCCUUUUUAUGGAGAUCUUCUUCAUGUGCUCUACAACAAAGAUCACUACAAGCUUGCCCUUGGUCAAAUCAAUACUGCAAGGAAUCUGAUUAGUAAGAUUGCUAAAGAUUAUGUCAGGCUGUUGAAGUAUGGUGAUUCAUUGUACCGAUGCAAGUGUCUGAAGGUUGCUGCUCUUGGUCGCAUGUGCACUGUCAUAAAAAGGGUUGCUCCUAGUUUGGCUUACUUAGAACAGAUCAGACAGCACAUGGCUAGGCUACCUUCAAUUGACCCAAAUACUCGGACGAUCUUGAUUUGCGGGUAUCCCAAUGUGGGCAAGAGUUCCUUCAUUAACAAGAUCACUAGAGCUGAUGUGGAUGUCCAGCCCUAUGCUUUCACCACAAAGUCGCUCUUUGUCGGUCAUACAGACUAUAAAUACCUAAGGUAUCAAGUCAUCGAUACACCUGGUAUUUUGGACCGGCCUUUUGAGGAUCGCAAUAUUAUUGAGAUGUGCAGUAUCACAGCUUUGGCACAUCUUCGAGCUGCAGUGUUGUUCUUCUUAGACAUCUCGGGGUCUUGUGGAUAUACCAUUGCACAACAGGCUGCACUUUUUCACAGCAUUAAGUCUCUGUUUAUGAACAAACCUUUGACUAUUGUAUGCAACAAGACUGAUUUGCAACCACUUGAAGGGAUAUCAGAGGAAGAUAAGAAGUUGGUCAUGGAGAUGAAAGCUGAAGCUAUGAAAACAGUGAUUGGUCAAGGAGGUGAGCCUACUGAUGACCAAGGGGUGCUGCUGACCAUGAGUACUUUGACUGAGGAUGGGUUAAUUGCUGUGAAAAAUGCAGCUUGUGAGAGGUUAUUGGAUCAGAGGGUUGAAAUAAAGAUGAAAUCCAAAAAGAUAAAUGAUUGCUUAAAUCGUUUUCAUGUUGCGAUACCAAAGCCACGGGACCAGAAGGAAAGGCCACCUUGUAUACCUCAGGCAGUUUUGGAAGCUAAAGCGAAGCAAGCAGCAGAGAAGGAAAAGAGGAAAACUGAAAAGGAUUUGGAGAAUGAGAAUGGUGGUGCAGGUGUAUACUCUGCUAGUUUGAAGAAGAAUUAUAUCUUAGCUAAUGAUGAAUGGAAAGAAGAUGUAUUGCCAGAAAUUCUUGAUGGGCACAAUGUGUAUGACUUCAUUGAUCCUGAUAUUUUACAAAGGCUUGAGGAGUUGGAACAAGAAGAAGGGCUAAGGCAGGCAGAGGAAGUUGAUGAUGAUUUUGAGAUGGAUGGCAAGGAAUUGACUCCAGAAGAGCAACAAGCAUUGGCUGAGAUUAGGAAAAAGAAAAGCUUACUCAUUCAACAGCACAGGAUUAAGAAAAGCACUGCAGAGAGCCGGCCUAUUGUACCAAGAAAAUUUGACAAGGACAAGCAGUUCACAACCAGGAGAAUGGGAAGGCAGCUAUCUGCUUUGGGGCUGGAUCCAUCUAAGGCCAUUGACCGAGCCCGUAGUAGGUCGAGGGGUCGGAAGAGGGAGAGGUCACCUGAUAAUGAAUGUGGUGAUGCUAUGGAUAUUGACGUGGACACACCUAACAAGAAGCUGCGAAUGAGGUCUAGAUCCCGAUCAAGGUCAGUCUCACGGCCACCAGGUGAAGUUGUCCCUGGAGAGGGCUUCAAGGACUCUGCUCAAAAGGUUAAGGCACAAAAGCUUGCAAAGAAAUCUUCCAAGAAGAGGAACAAGGAUGCACGUCGUGGUGAGGCAGAUAGGGUAAUACCUACUUUGAAACCAAAGCAUUUGUUCUCUGGGAAGCGGUCUACCGGAAAAACUGAUAGACGUUGAUUUACUAGAGCUGUGUAGGCUUGUAAAGAUAAUUAGCAAGGUGGCUGGGUUGUUGUAUCCUGGGGGCGGCAUGCACAAUAUUAGUCUACUACACCGGUAAUCCUGUAGACGUGUGCAUCGUCUCAAGACAAUGACAUGGUCCACACCUCAACCCUGCCAUCUAAAAACAUUUAUGAAUUGACGGUAAUUUGCUUCUGAUGCUAUGAGAUUAAUUUAAAGCAUCAUCAAGGAACAACAGAAUGUUCAUGGUUUCGCUGCGUGCCUGUGCUCUGAGGCUUCAGGUGCUUUUUUUUUUCCUUCUCCCCUGCAUGCUUUUGGAACGGAUGUAUCUGUUUUAAGAUUUUCAGAUUAGACUGAUGCUGGUAAAUAGGAGGAUGCCAAAGCUGUCAGCAGCAAUUAUUGGGUUCUUGAUUGAACAUGUGUUGAUGAUGGGCAUGUUGGUUCAUGGUUCGUGGAGACAGCAUUCCUUGGUUUUACUUGCAGUCAAGAAAGAAUUUUGUUCCAUCAAUACUUUGGUUUGGCUGUAGGUUGCACACUUCUUGACCAUGGCAGCAUAUCAGCAGAUUUUUGUUAUCUUCUUUCUUUUAGCAUAAUGUUGAGGCAAUUUUGAGUUUGAGAAACGCUUUAAAUUAUAAUUUUUCCUAGCAUAAUGUGUAUGAGUUCACAGAUGAAUUUGGCUUAAUUGCUGUUUGUUAGAUACUCCAAGAGCCAAUUCAAAUUAUGUUUUCAUCUAUUACCGUUUUGAAACAA
Quercus robur (English oak) is the source of this 2949-nucleotide RNA transcript. It is a transcript of the gene named nucleolar GTP-binding protein 1-like, with no coding region annotated. The record is from RefSeq and is a predicted model, not a curated record. The transcript is spliced from 5 exons. Lineage: Eukaryota; Viridiplantae; Streptophyta; Magnoliopsida; Fagales; Fagaceae.